UGGUUCUUCAAACGCUGGUUAACUUAAUCCCGAUCUGCACAUGAUUUUGAGAUUUCAGUCUGCAAAUCUUCACCAUCUAGCACCCUAAUAUUUUUAACUUUCAUCCAGAAUA
Non-coding RNA from Chiloscyllium plagiosum (whitespotted bambooshark), 112 nucleotides. The record is from RefSeq and is a predicted model, not a curated record. Lineage: Eukaryota; Metazoa; Chordata; Chondrichthyes; Orectolobiformes; Hemiscylliidae.